This 253-nucleotide ribosomal RNA is filed under the name uncultured bacterium. RNAcentral describes it as "partial 16S ribosomal RNA". It matches the Rfam family "Bacterial small subunit ribosomal RNA", at positions 524 to 776 of the family's 1533-position model. The record is from RNAcentral.
GACAGAGGAGCCAAGCGUUGUCCGGAUUGACUGGGCGUAAAGCGCACGCAGGCGGCUGUGCACGUGGGGUGUGAAAGCUGGCGGCUUAACUGCCAGACGCCACCUCAUACGGCACGGCUCGAGCCCGUGAGAGGUCCACGGAAUUGCCGGUGUAGUGGUGAAAUGCUUAGAUAUGACAUAGAACACCCAUUGCGAAGGCAGCUUACUACACGAUCAUUGACGCUGAGGCACGAAAGCGUGGGGAGCAAACAGG